Molecule: ribosomal RNA, 498 nt
Filed under: uncultured bacterium
Lineage: Bacteria
Description: partial 16S ribosomal RNA
Rfam family: Bacterial small subunit ribosomal RNA
Source: RNAcentral
GACGAACGCUGGCGGCGUGCCUAAUACAUGCAAGUCGAGCGGACGGAUGGGAGCUUGCUCCCAGACCGUCAGCGGCGGACGGGUGAGUAACACGUGGGCAACCUGCCUGUAAGACUGGGAUAACUCCGGGAAACCGGGGCUAAUACCGGAUAACUCUUUCCCUCACAUGAGGGAAAGCUGAAAGAUGGCAUCUCGCUAUCACUUACAGAUGGGCCCGCGGCGCAUUAGCUAGUUGGUGAGGUAACGGCUCACCAAGGCGACGAUGCGGAGCCGACCUGAGGGGGUGAUCGGCCACACUGGGACUGGGCCACGCCCCAGACUCCUACGGGAGGCAGCAGUAGGGAAUCUUCCGCAAUGGACGAAAGUCUGACGGAGCAACGCCGCGUGAGUGAUGAAGGUUUUCGGAUCGUAAAACUCUGUUGUCAGGGAAGAACAAGUACCGGAGUAACUGCCGGUACCUUGACGGUACCUGACCAGAAAGCCACGGCUAACUACGUG